RNAcentral lists this non-coding RNA (73 nucleotides) under human gut metagenome. RNAcentral describes it as "ZMP/ZTP riboswitch". It matches the Rfam family "ZMP/ZTP riboswitch aptamer (pfl RNA motif)", at positions 6 to 81 of the family's 86-position model. From Rfam's summary of the family: Previously known as pfl RNA. ZMP is also known as AICAR. The record is from RNAcentral.
GACGUGCGACUGGCGGAUAAGUGGGAAACUACAGGGGAGCACGUAAGAAGAUUGAGCCGACCGCCUGGGCAUG